RNAcentral lists this ribosomal RNA (433 nucleotides) under uncultured bacterium. Its description in RNAcentral is "partial 16S ribosomal RNA". It matches the Rfam family "Bacterial small subunit ribosomal RNA", at positions 29 to 507 of the family's 1533-position model. The record is from RNAcentral.
AACGAACGCUGGCGGCAUGCCUAACACAUGCAAGUCGAACGAGACCUUCGGGUCUAGUGGCGCACGGGUGCGUAACGCGUGGGAACCUGCCCUUAGGUUCGGAAUACCUCCCCGAAAGGGGUGCUAAUACCGGAUAAUGUCUUCGGACCAAAGAUUUAUCGCCUUUGGAUGGGCCCGCGUUGGAUUAGCUAGUUGGUAGGGUAAAAGCCUACCAAGGCGACGAUCCAUAGCUGGUCUGAGAGGAUGAUCAGCCACACUGGGACUGAGACACGGCCCAGACUCCUACGGGAGGGAGCAGUGGGGAAUAUUGGACAAGGGGGGAAAGCCUGAUCCAGCAAUGCCGGGGGAGUGAUGAAGGCCUUAGGGUUGUAAAGCUCUUUUACCCGGGAUGAUAAUGACAGUACCGGGAGAAUAAGCACCGGCUAACUCCGUG